AUUCCAGCUCCAAUAGCGUAUAUUAAAGUUGUUGCGGUUAAAGAGCUCGUAGUUGGAUUUCUUCAUAAGGAGGGCGGUCUGCGCUAUGCGCACGUAUCUGCUACUCUUUGUGAAUCCGGAAGUUUAAGGUGUGUCGCUUCAUUGCGACAUCCGUAGGCUUCUCUUUUACUUUGAGGAAAUUAGAGUGUUCACGGCAGGCAAUCGCCCUGAAUACAUUAGCAUGGAAUAAUAAUAUAGGACGCUGGCCCUAUUUUGUUGGUUUCUAGAGCUAACGUAAUGAUUAAUAGGGAUAAUUGGGGGCAUUCGUAUUAUCACGUCAGAGGUGGAAUUCUUGGAUUGUGUUACGACGAACUACUGCGAAAGCAUUUGCCAAGGAUGUUUUCAUUA
Molecule: ribosomal RNA, 387 nt
Filed under: Syndiniales sp.
Lineage: Eukaryota; Dinophyceae; Syndiniales
Description: partial small subunit ribosomal RNA
Rfam family: Eukaryotic small subunit ribosomal RNA
Source: RNAcentral